RNAcentral lists this unclassified non-coding RNA (216 nucleotides) under Hevea brasiliensis (rubber tree). Lineage: Eukaryota; Viridiplantae; Streptophyta; Magnoliopsida; Malpighiales; Euphorbiaceae. The record is from RNAcentral.
AUUACCUAUUUAUGUACUGAGAAUUCCACUGGCCAAACUUAUGCCUGUAAAUCUAUACUCAAACGGAAACUUAUAAGUAAGAAUGACAAGGAUGAUAUGAAGAGGGAAAUUCUGAUUCUGCAGCAUCUUUCUGGACAGCCAAACAUCGUUGAGUUCAAAGGUGCUUAUGAGGAUAGAUAUUCGGUUCAUCUGGUGAUGGAACUUUGUGCUGGUGGG